RNAcentral lists this ribosomal RNA (2920 nucleotides) under Staphylococcus aureus. RNAcentral describes it as "23S ribosomal RNA". It matches the Rfam family "Bacterial large subunit ribosomal RNA". Lineage: Bacteria; Bacillati; Bacillota; Bacilli; Caryophanales; Staphylococcaceae. The record is from RNAcentral.
UUAAGUUAUUAAGGGCGCACGGUGGAUGCUUUGCCACUAGAAGCCGAUGAAGGACGUUACUAACGACGAUAUGCUUUGGGGAGCUGUAAGUAAGCUUUGAUCCAGAGAUUUCCGAAUGGGGAAACCCAGCAUGAGUUAUGUCAUGUUAUCGAUAUGUGAAUACAUAGCAUAUCAGAAGGCACACCCGGAGAACUGAAACAUCUUAGUACCCGGAGGAAGAGAAAGAAAAUUCGAUUCCCUUAGUAGCGGCGAGCGAAACGGGAAGAGCCCAAAACAACAAGCUUGCUUGUUGGGGUUGUAGGACACUCUAUACGGAGUUACAAAGGACGACAUUAGACGAAUCAUCUGGAAAGAUGAAUCAAAGAAGGUAAUAAUCCUGUAGUCGAAAAUGUUGUCUCUCUUGAGUGGAUCCUGAGUACGACGGAGCACGUGAAAUUCCGUCGGAAUCUGGGAGGACCAUCUCCUAAGGCUAAAUACUCUCUAGUGACCGAUAGUGAACCAGUACCGUGAGGGAAAGGUGAAAAGCACCCCGGAAGGGGAGUGAAAUAGAACCUGAAACCGUGUGCUUACAAGUAGUCAGAGCCCGUUAAUGGGUGAUGGCGUGCCUUUUGUAGAAUGAACCGGCGAGUUACGAUUUGAUUCAAGGUUAAGCAGUAAAUGUGGAGCCGUAGCGAAAGCGAGUCUGAAUAGGGCGUUUAGUAUUUGGUCGUAGACCCGAAACCAGGUGAUCUACCCUUGGUCAGGUUGAAGUUCAGGUAACACUGAAUGGAGGACCGAACCGACUUACGUUGAAAAGUGAGCGGAUGAACUGAGGGUAGCGGAGAAAUUUCAAUCGAACCUGGAGAUAGCUGGUUCUCUCCGAAAUAGCUUUAGGGCUAGCCUCAAGUGAUGAUUAUUGGAGGUAGAGCACUGUUUGGACGAGGGGCCCCUCUCGGGUUACCGAAUUCAGACAAACUCCGAAUGCCAAUUAAUUUAACUUGGGAGUCAGAACAUGGGUGAUAAGGUCCGUGUUCGAAAGGGAAACAGCCCAGACCACCAGCUAAGGUCCCAAAAUAUAUGUUAAGUGGAAAAGGAUGUGGCGUUGCCCAGACAACUAGGAUGUUGGCUUAGAAGCAGCCAUCAUUUAAAGAGUGCGUAAUAGCUCACUAGUCGAGUGACACUGCGCCGAAAAUGUACCGGGGCUAAACAUAUUACCGAAGCUGUGGAUUGUCCUUUGGACAAUGGUAGGAGAGCGUUCUAAGGGCGUUGAAGCAUGAUCGUAAGGACAUGUGGAGCGCUUAGAAGUGAGAAUGCCGGUGUGAGUAGCGAAAGACGGGUGAGAAUCCCGUCCACCGAUUGACUAAGGUUUCCAGAGGAAGGCUCGUCCGCUCUGGGUUAGUCGGGUCCUAAGCUGAGGCCGACAGGCGUAGGCGAUGGAUAACAGGUUGAUAUUCCUGUACCACCUAUAAUCGUUUUAAUCGAUGGGGGGACGCAGUAGGAUAGGCGAAGCGUGCGAUUGGAUUGCACGUCUAAGCAGUAAGGCUGAGUAUUAGGCAAAUCCGGUACUCGUUAAGGCUGAGCUGUGAUGGGGAGAAGACAUUGUGUCUUCGAGUCGUUGAUUUCACACUGCCGAGAAAAGCCUCUAGAUAGAAAAUAGGUGCCCGUACCGCAAACCGACACAGGUAGUCAAGAUGAGAAUUCUAAGGUGAGCGAGCGAACUCUCGUUAAGGAACUCGGCAAAAUGACCCCGUAACUUCGGGAGAAGGGGUGCUCUUUAGGGUUAACGCCCAGAAGAGCCGCAGUGAAUAGGCCCAAGCGACUGUUUAUCAAAAACACAGGUCUCUGCUAAACCGUAAGGUGAUGUAUAGGGGCUGACGCCUGCCCGGUGCUGGAAGGUUAAGAGGAGUGGUUAGCUUCUGCGAAGCUACGAAUCGAAGCCCCAGUAAACGGCGGCCGUAACUAUAACGGUCCUAAGGUAGCGAAAUUCCUUGUCGGGUAAGUUCCGACCCGCACGAAAGGCGUAACGAUUUGGGCACUGUCUCAACGAGAGACUCGGUGAAAUCAUAGUACCUGUGAAGAUGCAGGUUACCCGCGACAGGACGGAAAGACCCCGUGGAGCUUUACUGUAGCCUGAUAUUGAAAUUGGCACAGCUUGUACAGGAUAGGUAGGAGCCUUUGAAACGUGAGCGCUAGCUUACGUGGAGGCGCUGGUGGGAUACUACCCUAGCUGUGUUGGCUUUCUAACCCGCACCACUUAUCGUGGUGGGAGACAGUGUCAGGCGGGCAGUUUGACUGGGGCGGUCGCCUCCUAAAAGGUAACGGAGGCGCUCAAAGGUUCCCUCAGAAUGGUUGGAAAUCAUUCAUAGAGUGUAAAGGCAUAAGGGAGCUUGACUGCGAGACCUACAAGUCGAGCAGGGUCGAAAGACGGACUUAGUGAUCCGGUGGUUCCGCAUGGAAGGGCCAUCGCUCAACGGAUAAAAGCUACCCCGGGGAUAACAGGCUUAUCUCCCCCAAGAGUUCACAUCGACGGGGAGGUUUGGCACCUCGAUGUCGGCUCAUCGCAUCCUGGGGCUGUAGUCGGUCCCAAGGGUUGGGCUGUUCGCCCAUUAAAGCGGUACGCGAGCUGGGUUCAGAACGUCGUGAGACAGUUCGGUCCCUAUCCGUCGUGGGCGUAGGAAAUUUGAGAGGAGCUGUCCUUAGUACGAGAGGACCGGGAUGGACAUACCUCUGGUGUACCAGUUGUCGUGCCAACGGCAUAGCUGGGUAGCUAUGUGUGGACGGGAUAAGUGCUGAAAGCAUCUAAGCAUGAAGCCCCCCUCAAGAUGAGAUUUCCCAACUUCGGUUAUAAGAUCCCUCAAAGAUGAUGAGGUUAAUAGGUUCGAGGUGGAAGCAUGGUGACAUGUGGAGCUGACGAAUACUAAUCGAUCGAAGACUUAAUCAA